UAGGGAAUAUUAGUAAUGGGCGAAAGCCUGAACUAGCAACACCGCGUGUGCGAAGAAGGCCUUCGGGUCGUAAAGCACUUUUUGGAAGGAAUAGGAAGGAAUGUACUUCCAGAAUAAGUCUCGGCUAACUACGUGCCAGCAGCCGCGGUAACACGUAGGAGGCGAACGUUAUCCGGAUUUGCUGGGCGUAAAGCGCGUGUAGGUGGUUCUGUAAGUAGGGCGUGAAAGCUCCUGGCUCAACUGGGAGAGGCCGUUCUAAACUACAGAACUAGAGGAUGGUAGAGGGAGGUGGAAUUCCGGGUGUAGCGGUGGAAUGCGCAGAUAUCCGGAGGAACACCAGUGGCGAAAGCGGCCUCCUGGACCACUCCUGACACUCAGACGCGAAAGCUAAGGUAGCAAACG
RNAcentral lists this ribosomal RNA (402 nucleotides) under uncultured prokaryote. RNAcentral's name for it is "bacterial SSU rRNA". It matches the Rfam family "Bacterial small subunit ribosomal RNA", at positions 355 to 774 of the family's 1533-position model. The record is from RNAcentral.